RNAcentral lists this ribosomal RNA (306 nucleotides) under Triticum aestivum (bread wheat). RNAcentral describes it as "partial small subunit ribosomal RNA". Lineage: Eukaryota; Viridiplantae; Streptophyta; Magnoliopsida; Poales; Poaceae. The record is from RNAcentral.
AUGGUCGUGGACACAAUGAGCAGUACCACGGUAGGGAGAGGGAGAGAGUAUACCUUCCAUGGCAUCGUCCAUGACUUGCUCCACGAACUCGACUUGCUCCAUGGAGUCACCGUACAUCGAGUUCGUGCGUGUAGCUUCAAAACCAAGGGAAAAAGGUUACAGGUGUCUCAUGCAUCUCUAGAACAGUGCAAAAGAAGUAAACUUCAUCAAGAUCAAUUCGUACUUAAUAAAAGAAGAGCAACCUAUAUUCCUCAUGUUCUAUGUGUACUAGUUACUACCUUGGCAACUUUACAUCUGGCUCAAUGA